RNAcentral lists this long non-coding RNA (1466 nucleotides) under Papio anubis (olive baboon). RNAcentral describes it as "lncRNA (ENSPANG00000041301.1)". The record is from RNAcentral. Lineage: Eukaryota; Metazoa; Chordata; Mammalia; Primates; Cercopithecidae.
AGCAGCUGGAAUUUUCAAGCACUCCUAAAUGUUAGAGGACAACAAAUAUGAAAUAAAAACAGAAGGAUAAAAAAAGUUGGUUUACAUACUUCAGAUUUCUGAUCCUGCCACAAGUAGUCUGCAUUCAAGGUUUUCAGGCCCUGUUCUUUGAUUCUUCCUGAUAAGCAACACAAUGUUGUGUGUGUGUGGGCAGGGUGUGGGGAGGACAGAAGGAUGGGGAAUAGUGUGUGUGUGGUGGAGGGAUUGACGCAACUUUACAGGCUAUGAGCUCCUCAUUCUCGCAUCCUUGUUUCUCUUCGUUUGGAGGUGACAACUAACGUGGGCCACCAAGAUAUAUCACGGCCACUUUUUUACUUUGUAGUCCCCUGAGGGUUCAGACUUCCAGUUUAACAGGCAAUAGCUUACAUUCCCAACUAGUUAAAGCCAAGAGUGAUUUAGCCUGUAGGUGAGCUCCUUCCUUUUUCACACAGGGAAAGGUCUUCGUUUUGCAAGCUCUAAUGAUAAUGGUCAUAGCAUCUGUAUAAUUACAAUAUUCACACACAGCAACUAAUGUCUUUCCCACGAUCUCUCAAGUGGCUGGCAAAGGAUGAUAUAGAGGAAUCCAGCUGUGGAGUCCAGUCAAAGGAGAGGCUGGAGGGAUUAGGCCAGAAGGUCAGAGCUUCCCUGUGGGAAACCUGGGGUUAAAGGAGAACUGGACUUACAGCUCCAGAGACAGGACACCCCCUAGGAGUGUUGGUUGUCAUACAGGUGUGUCAUAGAGGAGCUAAAAAAUCAUCAUCCCCAAGUUAGAGACCAGGUGCUUGGGGGCCAGACCGUGCCUGGGCCUCACGUGAUAGUGGGGUAGGGACAUCCAUAGGAUCAGUAAUUCUGGACUUUGUGGACACAGGCCUUGACAGGGCUGACCUUGAACUUUCAAGGGGCAGAGGUUGUUAAUGGCAGCUGGGGAGACAGUGCUGAGGCAUGCAGCAGAAGAAAUGUUUAAGGAGACUAGGUUGACUCUGUUCAGAUCCAAAGCUCCAGGAGAGCAUCUGAUUGCUGCAUCCAGGCUCCAUGCUGAGCCCAUGUUGGUGAAGGCUGGAAGAAACAAGUCUGCCCUUUUGGUCUCUACAGUUCCUCCUGAGACUCCCAAAGAAAGGAAUUCCCCUCAACAGUAAGAUUUUGGGAUUAAUAGAUGGCCAAACAUAAGACAAAGCAAAACAAAUGGCCAGUGGCCACUGUAUUUUAUCUCCAGAAUUUGUGAAACUGAUGAAUGUAUAUGAGAGUAUUUCAUGCCACUAAAGUACUCUACUAAUACCAGGAUUUACUGAAGAUGUGAUAGUUGUCUUUCCAUAUGUUUUAUCCCACAGAUAGGUUUCAUUUUUGCUCUUCCAUUUCUUGGCUUUAAUUCACCUUUUCCCAAAAGCACUUCUAGACUGGCCAUCUCAGCUUCCAGUUCUCCCUAAACUUCUUUGAUACUCUAGUCUUUC